CAAUUUCAUAAAUUAGAAUUAACUGUAUAACGGUUUGUCACAUUGAAGUAAUAGAAAUAUGGAAUAAUUUCGAAUAUUUGGAUUCUGUUUCAUAUUUUGGAUAUGGCUGAUUUUCAAUUUGUAUUGACAUUUUUAAUUUUGUUUUCAUUUGUUUCAUCAGCAGGUAACGUAUUUUCUUUAUAUUUUUUUUUAAUAAUUAUUUUAUUACUUUUGAUGUACCUAUAACAUUAUAUGUUUUUAUUUUUCUCUCUCUUGUCUUUCUCUUUUGAUAUAUAUAUUUAAAACCAAUAACUUUUAUGAUCUAUACAAAUCCUUGUUAAAAACUUUCAAUUUUAUUUGUUGAUUAUUAUUCAAAAUAAACUACGUGAAUCUUUACUUCUCAGAAAUAUGAUAUGCUUCUAUGAUGUCUAUAAAAAUGAAAAAAACAAAAUUAUGAAAAAUUAGUUCUGGGAAUACUUUUUUGGAUCUCUUAUUUGAAUCAAAAAGAAUUAGCUGUCAUAUUUGUUUUACUUUCUUUUCUUUUUUUUAAAUUUGUAACGUAUAUAUGUUUAUUAAUAAGCAUCAGAGGCAAAUUAUACUAGACACAGGCAAUUUCAUUUUGUCACACGAAUAUAUCUAAUUAUUUUCAGACUUCUUUUUCAUUAUACCAACAUCUACGGUUUGAGUUUUCCUUAAAAGUUUGGAAAAGCGUAUCUUUCAUUAAAAUAGAUAUUUCAUGAAUUAAAGAACAUGAAAUUUGAUGCCAAAAUAUAUUAAUUCAAUUUCAAAAAGUCAUAGAAGGAUUGGAUCCGCUUAAGCUGCGUGCUUCUUUUUCCUAUACUUUACAGUUCUAAUACUAAACAAUGUAAAUCUGAAAAUCAUGUUUUAUAAGUAUGUGUUGCGAUGUGUAUGUGUCAUGUUUUAUAUGUAUGUGUGUAUGUGUCAAGUUUUGUAUGUAUGUGUAUGCGUGUGUAUGUUUCAUGUUUUAUAAGUAUGUGUUGCGUGCGAAUGUGUCAUGUUUUAUAAGUAUGAGUUGCGUGUGAAUGUGUAAUGUUUUAUAUUUAUGUGUGUAUGUGCCAUGUUUUAUAUGUAUGUGUUGUGUGUGUAUGUGUCAUGGUUUAUAUGUAUGUGCUGCGUUUGUAUGUGUCAUGUUUUAUAUGUAUGUGUGUAUGUGUCAAGUUUUUUAUGUAUGUGUUGCGUGUGUAUGUGUCAUGUUUUAUACGCAUGUGUUGCGUUUGUAUGUGUCAUGUUUUAUAAUAUAUGUGUUGCGUGUGUUUAUGUCAAAGUUUGAAUGAUAUUCAACUUUGAUUUACACAUCACUUGAAUGAACUGAUUCCUUUAGAUAAAUACAAUACUGUAAUCAAACAAACAAUUCCGGACUCCUACAUUUGUAUCUUUCUUUCUGCAGGUUGUCUCACUUGCUAUGCCUGUUCUUUGAGUAACCAGGAUGACAAAUCAUGCGCAGAGGAUAAAAACAUGUUGAUAGACAGCAAAGUGCAUAUGAAAGGUUUUGUUAAAAAUUGUUCUGAAAAUGAAAGUUAUUGCAUGAUAGAGAAAAUAACAACUAAAUGUAAGUAUUUGAAAUCUGUUGCUGG
RNAcentral lists this long non-coding RNA (1574 nucleotides) under Mytilus galloprovincialis (Mediterranean mussel). Lineage: Eukaryota; Metazoa; Mollusca; Bivalvia; Mytilida; Mytilidae. The record is from RNAcentral.